UCAAUAAGCGGAGGAAAAGGAACUAACAAGGAUUCCCCUAGUAACUGCGAGUGAAGCGGGAAGAGCUCAAAUUUAAAAUCUGGCGUGCCUCUGGUCGUCCGAGUUGUAGUCUGGAGAAGCGUUUUCCGUGUUGGACCGUGUAUAAGUCUCUUGGAACAGGGCGUCAUAGAGGGUGAGAAUCCCGUCUUUGACACGGACUACCAAUGCUUUGUGAUGCGCUCUCAAAGAGUCGAGUUGUUUGGGAAUGCAGCUCAAAAUGGGUGGUAAAUUCCAUCUAAAGCUAAAUAUAGGCGAGAGACCGAUAGCGAACAAGUACCGUGAGGGAAAGAUGAAAAGCACUUUGGAAAGAGAGUUAAACAGUACGUGAAAUUGCUGAAAGGGAAACGCUUGAAGUCAGUCAUGUCUGCCAGGACUCAGCCUUGCUUCUGCUUGGUGUACUUUCUGGUUUGAUGGGCCAACAUCGAUUUUGACCGUCGGAAGAAGGCUUUGGGAACGUGGCACCUUAGGGUGUGUUAUAGCCCUUUGUUGUAUACGACGGUUGGGAUCGAGGACCGCAGCACGCCUUUAUGGCCGGGGUUCGCCCACGUACGUGCUUAGGAUGUUGGCAUAAUGGCUUUAAGCGACCCUCUUGAAACACGGACCA
This 643-nucleotide ribosomal RNA is filed under the name uncultured Thelephoraceae. Its description in RNAcentral is "eukaryotic LSU rRNA". It matches the Rfam family "Eukaryotic large subunit ribosomal RNA", at positions 43 to 668 of the family's 3401-position model. The record is from RNAcentral. Lineage: Eukaryota; Fungi; Basidiomycota; Agaricomycetes; Thelephorales; Thelephoraceae.